GUUGAACGAGAUUAGUUUAGCAAUAGACUAUGAAAGUGGCGCACGGGUGCGUAACACGUAUGCAACCUGCCCUUGACUGGAGAAUAGCCUCUCGAAAGAGAGAUUAAUGUUCCAUAACAUAUAGAUUAAGCAUUUAGUUUAUAUCAAAGCUCCGGCGGUCAAGGAUGGGCAUGCGGUUGAUUAGCUAGUUGGUGAGGUAACGGCUCACCAAGGCGACGAUCAAUAGGGGGUCUGAGAGGAUGUCCCCCCACACUGGUACUGAGACACGGACCAGACUCCUACGGGAGGCAGCAGUAGGGAAUAUUGGUCAAUGGAGGCAACUCUGAACCAGCCAUGCCGCGUGCAGGAAGACUGCCCUAUGGGUUGUAAACUGCUUUUGUACGGGAAGAAAUGUUACUACGUGUAGUAAUUUGACGGUACCGUAAGAAUAAGGAUCGGCUAACUUCGUGCCAGCAGCCGCGGUAAUACGAAGGAUCCAAGCGUUGUCCGGAUGUACUGGGUUUAAAGGGAGCGUAGGCGGUUUUAUAAGUCAGUGGUGAAAGCCUUCAGCUUAACUGAAGAAUUGCCAUUGAAACUGUAGGACUCGAGUAUGGUUGAGGUCACUGGAAUAUAACAUGUAGCGGUGAAAUGCUUAGAUAUGUUAUAGAACACCAAUUGCGAAGGCAGGUGACUAAGCCAUAACUGACGCUGAGGCUCGAAAGCGUGGGGAGCAAACAGGAUUAGAUACCCUGGUAGUCCACGCCCUAAACGUUGAAUACUCGGUCUU
This 766-nucleotide ribosomal RNA is filed under the name uncultured Bacteroidota bacterium. RNAcentral describes it as "bacterial SSU rRNA". It matches the Rfam family "Bacterial small subunit ribosomal RNA", at positions 61 to 824 of the family's 1533-position model. The record is from RNAcentral. Lineage: Bacteria; Pseudomonadati; Bacteroidota.